GAUAGCCCCCUGUCGCUACUGUGAUUGGACACUGACACAGAGUCAACUAGCCUUGUUCGCGCGGUUCUUCGUGCGCGGAACCGGGGACGGUCCGAGCCACGAGGGGGGAGGCUCGGACCGUCCGUC
This 126-nucleotide non-coding RNA is filed under the name Streptomyces scabiei 87.22. RNAcentral's name for it is "Streptomyces RNA 3920". It matches the Rfam family "Streptomyces RNA 3920". Rfam says of the family: Identified by deep sequencing of transcriptome at the end of exponential growth phase. Sequencing size consistent with northern blot size. Streptomyces specific. The record is from Rfam by way of RNAcentral. Lineage: Bacteria; Bacillati; Actinomycetota; Actinomycetes; Kitasatosporales; Streptomycetaceae.